RNAcentral lists this long non-coding RNA (1408 nucleotides) under Vulpes vulpes (red fox). Its description in RNAcentral is "lncRNA (ENSVVUG00000014721.1)". The record is from RNAcentral. Lineage: Eukaryota; Metazoa; Chordata; Mammalia; Carnivora; Canidae.
CCAGAGUGAUAUGAUUCCUUUGUAUCUUUUAUGAAAGCAGCCAGCCACACUGUCUCCAGGCCAUUGUUUCUCUAGGUCUUCUUUGAAGACGGACGAUCUACUGUUUCAAAAGAUGUAUGUGUGUGGACAAUAAUACCAAUAUCUGGAGGUUCCAGAGGACACAUCGAUAACAAUCAACUUAGCACACCAAGAUUUCUGCAGUUGUUCUGUUGCCACCAGCAUUCCUGGAGUGAAUGUCCUCCUGUAUCUUCCUUAUGGAUGUGUGAGAGUGUUUCUGGAUUGUAUACCCAGUGGUGUGAUCACUGGCCCAUGAGAACGGCACAAAAUUUAUUCACUAAGUGUGGCCAGAUUGCUCUUCAGAUUAGAUGCUCCCACCUAGGUAAGUGGCUCCUGCUCCUCUGUUUCUGAACCAUUUUUUAUAUUCUCUGACUUUCUACUUUUUGCCAGGAUUAUGGGUGUCAUAGUUGUUUGAGGGCCAUGAGCUUGCAUGUCCCUUCACAAACUUUGUAGCCAUUGAUAUUAUUCUUCCGUGAACAGCUUGUUUAUUUCCUUUCCUAAUUUAUUAACUGGCAUUGGGUUGUGUGUUAAUUUGUACAUUUGCAAGAGUUUCUUUUGUGUCAUUCUAUAUCCAUAGCCCAUUUUAGCCAAUGAAAAAUAUUACCUCCCAGAUUAUCAUUGUUCAACUUAUACAUUAUGUUCUUUUUUUAUUAUGUUCUUUAUUGAACAAAUAUUGUCAAUUUUGACAUAGACAAAUCAUCUCUUUUCUUUUUAAGUUUCUGUGUUUGGUGUCUUGCAUAAGAAAUAAUUUGCCAUCCCUAGAUGAAAGAUAUGCUUCUAGCGUGACUUCUCUAAAUUUGCUUUUUUUGUUUUGUUUUGUUUUUGGAUUUUUUUUAUCUAUACACCCAGCUUGGGAUUUGAACUCACCAUCCCAAGAUCAACCGUUGUUUGAUCGACCAACAGUGACAGGCGGGUGCCCCUAGAAGUUUUUAGAUUGACCUUUUGCAUCCAGUUGGUGUUUACCUUUGCUAUAAAGUUUUACAAUCUGAUCCAUGAAUGUUUUACUAAUAUUUUACUCGGUUCAUCUCUAGAUGAUUCAUAAAUUCAUCGCUAUUGUAAAUAGGAGUUUAUUUUCUACUUAGUUUCUAAUUGAUUAUUGAUACUUAAAGGGAAUGCUAAUGAAUUUUGUAGGCUGAUCUUAUAUCCAGCCAUCCUGAAGAACUAUUUAUUUUAGUUCUAUUAGUUUGCCUGCUGAAUAUUACCUUUUAUUUGAAGAUAAUUAGAGUUUAAUGCUUUCUAUUACAAUUUUCAUAUUAUAAUUUUUAUUUCUUUUCUUCAUUUGAUUGCCUUGGCUGGGCCCUCCAAUGUUAUAUUGAGUAAUACUAGUCACGGUGGGCAUCCCUGCCUUCUA